UACGUAGGGGGCUAGCGUUGUCCGGAUUUAUUGGGCGUAAAGAGCGUGUAGGCGGCCAGAUAGGUCCGUUGUGAAAACUGGAGGCUUAACCUCCAGCUGUCGAUGGAAACCAUCUGGCUAGAGUCCGGAAGAGGAGAGUGGAAUUCCUGGUGUAGCGGUGAAAUGCGCAGAUAUCAGGAAGAACACCCGUGGCGAAGGCGGCUCUCUGGGACGGUACUGACGCUGAGACGCGAAAGCGUGGGGAGCGAACAGG
RNAcentral lists this ribosomal RNA (253 nucleotides) under uncultured bacterium. RNAcentral describes it as "partial 16S ribosomal RNA". It matches the Rfam family "Bacterial small subunit ribosomal RNA", at positions 524 to 776 of the family's 1533-position model. The record is from RNAcentral.